GCGAUCAUAUCAGUACUAAUGCAUCGGAUUCCAUCAGAACUCCGAAGUUAAGCGUGCUUGGGCAAGGGCAGUACUAGGAUGGGUAACCCCCUGGGAAGUCCUCGUGUUGCACCU
RNAcentral lists this ribosomal RNA (114 nucleotides) under Zingiber officinale. Lineage: Eukaryota; Viridiplantae; Streptophyta; Magnoliopsida; Zingiberales; Zingiberaceae. The record is from RNAcentral.